Molecule: ribosomal RNA, 355 nt
Filed under: Triticum aestivum (bread wheat)
Lineage: Eukaryota; Viridiplantae; Streptophyta; Magnoliopsida; Poales; Poaceae
Description: partial small subunit ribosomal RNA
Source: RNAcentral
GGGGAGCAGGAACGACCUUAAAAAGCUGAAGUCAUCCAUAGGCGAUGAGCCUAAAAUUGAUGGCGAAUUAUUGAAGCGAGUCAAAGAGGUAGGGGGCGAGGAGCAUACAGCAAUGUUGAGGGCCGUCAUCUGCCUACCAAGUGAGGAGGGAGUGGCCCCCAAGCCCAUUCAGACUCUCGACUUUGUGGACUGUGCAGGUUUGGAUGCUACUAUUGCUCUCUCACCUAAGGUUGUUGGCCAUGUGGUGUCUGCGGGUGAUGAGGUAGGUGAAGAUUUUUCCGCAAUUUGGGGUUCUAGCUUGCGAACUAUGGAAAACGACGAAGGAUGUGAUUGCCCCGAACCCGCGAGCAAUUGA